CUUCAAUGUCAGCUCCGAUUUGGAGGCCCAGUCAUCAUAAAUGUUCAGUUCUCGUUUUGGUCUUAACGGAGCCACAUCUCCUUAAUAAUAUCGAAUAAAAAUUUUCAGUUUUUGUGCAGUAAAAAUGUUUAGACAAUUUUACACCAGUUUGGGCUACUUCUUAUAAGGGGGUUUACACGUUUCAUACAAAACACAUUGCUAAACCGGUGAGUGGGCGAUGACCAGCUGCCAUCUAUUUUAUUGCUUCAUGGAUUCAAAAAGGCAAAAAAUUGCAAUUGAAUUACCAAAUAUAAAAUGCAUUGGUAUUCAGGCUUAUUUCGACAAACUUACAAUCACACACCUGCCAAUCUCAUUCUUCUGCCGUCUGAUCUAAGCUAAUACAAGCUGCCAUUCAUUUGCUUUCAAGGAAUCAAAAGGGCAGAAUGUCGUCGUGAUUUGGGACCAUGACGACUUCGUUACACGACAAAACGCAAACACACACUCAUUCAAAGCUGCUACAAGGUUGGUAUUUACGAUUAUGGAACCUUCAGGCUUAUUUCGACAAACUUACAAUCACACACCUGCCAAUCUCAUUCUUCUGCAAUCCGAUCUGAGCUAAUACAAGGUAUUCUAACACAUUUCAUAGCAUUACAAAAUCGACGAAUGGAAGUUCGCCAGCUGCCAUCCGUUUGAUUGCUUUCAAGGAAUCAAAAGGACAGAAUGUCGUCGUGAUUUGGGACCAUGACGACUUCAUUACAUGACAAAACGUAAAAACACACACUCAUUCAAAGCUGCUACAAGGUUGUUAUCUACGAUUAUGGAACCUUCAGGCUUAUUUCGACAAACUUACAAUCACACACCUGCCAAUCUCAUUCUUCUGCAAUCCGAUCUGAGCUAAUACAAGGUAUUCCAACACAUUUCAUAGCAUUACAAAAUCGACGAAUGGAAGUUCGCCAGCUGCCAUCCAUUUGAUUGCUUUCAAGGAAUCAAAAGGACAGAAUGUCGUCGUGAUUUGGGACCAUGACGACUUCAUUACAUGACAAAACGUAAAAACACACACUCAUUCUAAGCUGCUACAAGGUUGGUAUCUACGAUUAUGGAACCUGUAAGGGAUUAACCUCAAGUUUCCCUACCUUGCAGCUUACAUGGAGCUGGGCGAUUCCAUUCCGAUUUUUUAAAGCAUCAGCAUAUUGAAUAUAUCGAUUUAUACAAUCGCACCUUUUUCGUACACAUUAAUAAUUGUUAGAAGCUACACUAUCCACUACUAUUAAUGUUAAGUAAAUAAACAAAUUGGGUCGCAG
This is a long non-coding RNA of Drosophila simulans, 1280 nucleotides long. RefSeq lists it as uncharacterized. Lineage: Eukaryota; Metazoa; Arthropoda; Insecta; Diptera; Drosophilidae. The transcript has 8 exons. The record is from RefSeq and is a predicted model, not a curated record.